ACAGUUUGUUAUUGAGACGAUAGCCCUGAGGAUAGGAGAGAGAAUCAUGAGUCACCUUCCAAACAGGUUUGAACUGGUGUGAGAUAAUGGUACGAACAUAUUUUAGAAACUGGUCUAAACUAGCCCGUAAGAAAGAGUGGUAGGUGUGGAUUAAAAAAAAGACCGUCACAUGCUACGGAGAAAGGGAGCUGGACUAACAAGAAACUGUGGCUGCAACUGCCUGCGAAACAAAUACCAUGAGGAUUCACUAUGGAGGCAGCUUUGCCCAAAGAAGAAGGUCAGAGACAGAACUUUGCAGCCAUGCUAUUCAGUAAUGAAGAUGCAAAUUGUUGUUUAAUAUUCAACUGCUGCUUCCUCUGAAGGUCUGAACAAGUGACAGUGGCAAUGUUAGGAUUUCCUCAGAGACCUUUUCCACUCGGCUUAGCCGGAACACCUCUCCAGUUCUGGGGAUAACACUUUAUCCAGCUCUCUCGAAUCCAAGAAAUCAGCUCAACUCUGGACUCAUCACUGAGGUUUCAUUAUUGGCAUACAAUCAAACUACACUUGAGUUGAUCAGGCUCAAGUGUAGCAGGUGGGUACAGGGUAUACCGCACUUUCAACGUACAUGAUCAUGAGUUCGCUUAUAUACACUCUUUUACUUAAUACUAUUGGCUAAUGUCACUUUAUGAUUGGUCUACUAAUUUUUGUACCAAUCUCUGUACGGAUCAUGAACUGUCCACAAGCUACAAAGUAUGCUAGUAAGCAAAGCUGCAGCUGCAAGUUUAUCACACAUUAACUCUUCUUACUA
Emys orbicularis (European pond turtle) is the source of this 787-nucleotide long non-coding RNA. RefSeq lists it as uncharacterized. The record is from RefSeq and is a predicted model, not a curated record. The transcript has 3 exons. Lineage: Eukaryota; Metazoa; Chordata; Testudines; Emydidae.